AAUAUACCCCCUCCGUCCGAAAAUACUUGUCAUCAAAAUGGAUAAAAAGGGAUGCAUCUAAAACUAAAAUAUGUCUAGAUACAUCCUCUUUUAUUAAUUUUGAUAACAAGUAUUUCCAGAUGGAGGAAGCCCACA
Non-coding RNA from Triticum aestivum (bread wheat), 135 nucleotides. NCBI's taxonomy places the organism in Eukaryota, Viridiplantae, Streptophyta, Magnoliopsida, Poales, Poaceae. The record is from Rfam.